GCUUCAAAAUGGUCUUUUCAGAACUCUAACUUUGGAAUGCUACAGACUGCCCCUGAAUCACCCUAAAGAGAGGUAUGGAAAGCUUUUUUAUGCUUCACUGAGGACAAUCAACCUCUUCACAGUCUAGAAACUGAAGUUGGAUGUUCUGAGAACAUCAGAGAAAGACUGACCUUGCCAUCCACACUGCAACAAAACUUUGGAAGCUUGAACCUUGGGUUUAUAAUCUCACAACUGAGAAGGGUACCCCAAUACUCUUGGAACUGUACACCCAUUGGAACCCUUAAGGUAAAACUAACUAGGAAAGUUUCUCCCCAAAAGAAGAUGGCAUCCUUGAUGUGAACAGAUUUUCCCAAGAUCACAAAUCAAAACUUCUACUAUCAUGAGACUCUUAUCUUUGAAUAUUUUUCCCUGUUUAUGCCUCUAUGAACAACGGAAAUGGAAGGGGGCCUAUUAUAUGCACUUAUAGGGUGUACUUUUAUUUGUGAAGAAUUUUGCAUCCAGACUUAUAUAAAUACAUUUAUACUCUGAUAGAUAAAAGAUGAAGCCCCAGUGUAGGUGAGAAACUUUAGUGGUACAUACAUUGCCUCAUAAUCAGUCAAAACUCCUCUUAACCUACAUCAUAGAUUAAAGAGAACACUGUCAGGAGAUGCUCACUAUUCUACAAGGACAUCACUUGUUAGGUCAUUUUUCCAUGGUUUAGAAUAAAAGAGGCAAUAAUUAGAAAUGUAUCCUUUUUGAUAGGCUCUAUAGCAGAUUCUACUGUAAAGGCUAUCAUUAAACAACAGACUUUAAGUUCUUUCAUGAAAGUCAUUCUAAAUAAUGUAAUUGGCUAAACAGAAAAGUACUUGUGCAGCUGCUGGUACUUAUGGCCUAUGAAGAAAUUUAUCAAAUGUAGAUUAUAGAAAUUUGGUUGUAGGGCAUUAAUAAAAAGACCACUUAAUCAAGUGAAUAGAUUCUUUAUCUAGCUUAUUAUUUAUUUAAUUUUCAGUGGUUUGGUUUAUGGGGACCCUGGGUAAGGAGCAUACUCCAAACUCUUGGUAUUAUCCUCCCACUAGUCAUAGUAAUAGUCCUGCUGAUGCACUGUAUUCUCUCAAAAGUUUUAAAUAUUUGCAUGCAGGCAUCUCUAGAACAUCAAAUGGUCUCUUUUCAACUGGAAUAACAAGAGCUGAAAGAAAUGUGUGACCAUGAAGAUACCAUAACCUGUGAAUGAUGUGCUGAGACAGGAAACCCACAAUGAUGGUAACAGAGAGUGGAGCUAAGGCCCUAGUUUUGGUCGCAUGCUCACCUAAGGGAGAAGCUGACCAAAAGUGGGGAUUUUUUUUUAAAACAAAAUUAUGGAAGACCAUUGUUUUGGACUAAGCUCAUACACUAGGCCCCAACAGGCCAAACCAAACUAAAAUGGAGUCAAUCCUGCUAAAUAAUCAUACCAAGACUUUAAGGAUACAUAGAUCUUAGCAUAUAAUCAAACUAAGACUUUAAGGAAACACACAGAUCUUAAAACAGACUGGGUUUUGUUUUUCUCCUUUAAACAGUAUGUUCCAGCAUAAAGAGGUACCCUCUACUCAGUCCUUGUUCUUACCUUUGCAAAACUCACCGUUCUACUGUUUCCCAGUGGGUUUUAAGACCAAAUAAGUACAUUUACAAUGGUGAUAGUGACAUUAAUAACUAAAAUUUUAGUCAAUUUCUCAAAAUUAAGAAAAUGACCAAAAGAGGGGAAUUGUUAAAGUGAAUGAAAUAUGGCCUGAGAAGGACUCCAUACUUCUUUAUUUGAGUCCUUGUGGACAAAAUGCAACCCAGCUUAAGAGGUAGACAAGAUUAAAAACCUAACUUAGGAGUAUGCACCUGUAACAAGAGCUGAGACUUGGCCAAUCACAGUCACCAUACAUCAACAAUUCAUACACCACUGAGUGUUCAAACUGUUUAAAUAAGGCAAACACUAACUUGUAACCAACCCAGUCGUUCUGUACCUCACUUCCAAUUUCUGUAAAUCAUUUCCAUUUUUUUGCCUAUAAACUUUCGUCCACCCUGUGGCUGCGCCGAAGUCUCUGUGAAUCUGCUGUGAUUCUGGGGGCUGCCUGAUUCGUGAAUUAUUCAUUGCUCGAUUAAACUCCUUUAAAUUAAA
Molecule: non-coding RNA, 2122 nt
Organism: Macaca mulatta (Rhesus monkey)
Lineage: Eukaryota; Metazoa; Chordata; Mammalia; Primates; Cercopithecidae
Source: RefSeq, a predicted model, not a curated record